RNAcentral lists this long non-coding RNA (383 nucleotides) under Mytilus galloprovincialis (Mediterranean mussel). Lineage: Eukaryota; Metazoa; Mollusca; Bivalvia; Mytilida; Mytilidae. The record is from RNAcentral.
GGGGGGGGGUAUUUUAAGUGUCAAAUAAAGAAAUUUCUGGCUAUAUACCGUAGCUACUUUGAAUUUGUAUACUAUUUCCCUCGUGUCUGGUCUUAUAAAAGGUUUUGAGAACUAAUUGUCAUCAAUCAGACAUGUUUUUAUGCUUUCUAGCUUUUGCCAUCACUUGUGACGUGUGUCGUCUGUCGUCCAUUAACCUUUACAAAGAUCAUCUCCUCUGAAACCAUAAAGAUCUAAAGUUAACUAAACUUGCAAUUGGUCACAAUCAUCACCGGGCUAUCUUAAUUGAAUAGCUGUCCUUAAUAAGAUGAAAGCCACAAUGUCAGUUACAAACACACGUACAGACUCAUGAACAUGUUGUUCAACUUGUUCAUACAUAAAAAAAU